This 496-nucleotide ribosomal RNA is filed under the name uncultured bacterium. RNAcentral describes it as "partial 16S ribosomal RNA". It matches the Rfam family "Bacterial small subunit ribosomal RNA", at positions 28 to 507 of the family's 1533-position model. The record is from RNAcentral.
GAUGAACGCUGGCGGCGUGCCUAAUACAUGCCAGUCGAGCGAACAGACGAGGAGCUUGCUCCUCUGACGUUGCGGCGGACGGGUGAGUAACACGUGGAUAACCUACCUAUAAGACUGGGAUAACUUCGGGAAACCGGAGCUAAUACCGGAUAAUAUAUUGAACCGCAUGGUUCAAUAGUGAAAGACGGUUUUGCUGUCACUUAUAGAUGGAUCCGCGCCGCAUUAGCUAGUUGGUAAGGUAACGGCUUACCAAGGCAACGAUGCGUAGCCGACCUGAGAGGGUGAUCGGCCACACUGGAACUGAGACACGGUCCAGACUCCUACGGGAGGCAGCAGUAGGGAAUCUUCCGCAAUGGGCGAAAGCUUGACGGAGCAACGCCGCGUGAGUGAUGAAGGUCUUCGGAUCGUAAAACUCUGUUAUUAGGGAAGAACAAAUGUGUAAGUAACUAUGCACGUCUUGACGGUACCUAAUCAGAAAGCCACGGCUAACUACGUG